GACGAACGCUGGCGGCGUGCUUAACACAUGCAAAUCGAACGGUGAACUCCGCUUGCGGGGGGAUCAGUGGCGAACGGGUGAGUAACACGUGGGCAACCUGCCCUCAGCUCUGGGAUAACUCCAAGAAAUCGGGGCUAAUACCGGAUAUGACCGCUGACCGCAUGGUCUGGUGGUGGAAAGAUUUAUCGGCUGGGGAUGGGCCCGCGGCCUAUCAGCUUGUUGGUGGGGUAGUGGCCUACCAAGGCGACGAUGGGUAGCCGGCCUGAGAGGGUGACCGGCCACACUGGGACUGAGACACGGCCCAGACUCCUACGGGAGGCAGCAGUGGGGAAUAUUGCGCAAUGGGCGAAAGCCUGACGCAGCGACGCCGCGUGGGGGAUGACGGCCUUCGGGUUGUAAACCUCUUUCAGCAGGGACGAAGCGAAAGUGACGGUACCUGCAGAAGAAGCACCGGCCAACUACGUG
RNAcentral lists this ribosomal RNA (465 nucleotides) under uncultured bacterium. RNAcentral describes it as "partial 16S ribosomal RNA". It matches the Rfam family "Bacterial small subunit ribosomal RNA", at positions 28 to 507 of the family's 1533-position model. The record is from RNAcentral.